Molecule: transfer RNA, 73 nt
Filed under: Candidatus Omnitrophota bacterium
Lineage: Bacteria; Pseudomonadati; Candidatus Omnitrophota
Description: Candidatus Omnitrophica bacterium (sediment metagenome) tRNA-Thr
Rfam family: tRNA
About the family: Transfer RNA (tRNA) molecules are approximately 80 nucleotides in length.
Source: RNAcentral
GCUGGCUUAGCUCAGUUGGUAGAGCAGCGCAUUCGUAAUGCGCAGGCCGUCAGUUCAAUUCUGACAGCCAGCU